CCUACGGGUGGCAGCAGUGGGGAAUAUUGGACAAUGGGGGCAACCCUGAUCCAGCCAUGCCGCGUGUGUGAAGAAGGCCCUCGGGUUGUAAAGCACUUUCAGUGAGGAAGAACGCCUGGUGGUUAAUACCCAUCAGGAAAGACAUCACUCACAGAAGAAGCACCGGCUAACUCCGUGCCAGCAGCCGCGGUAAUACGGAGGGUGCGAGCGUUAAUCGGAAUUACUGGGCGUAAAGCGCGCGUAGGUGGCUUGAUAAGCCGGUUGUGAAAGCCCCGGGCUCAACCUGGGAACGGCAUCCGGAACUGUCAAGCUAGAGUGCAGGAGAGGAAGGUAGAAUUCCCGGUGUAGCGGUGAAAUGCGUAGAGCUCGGGAGGAAUACCAGUGGCGAAGGCGGCCUUCUGGACUGACACUGACACUGAGGUGCGAAAGCGUGGGUAGCAAACAGGAUUAGAUACCCUAGUAGUC
Molecule: ribosomal RNA, 465 nt
Filed under: Vreelandella stevensii
Lineage: Bacteria; Pseudomonadati; Pseudomonadota; Gammaproteobacteria; Oceanospirillales; Halomonadaceae
Description: partial 16S ribosomal RNA
Rfam family: Bacterial small subunit ribosomal RNA
Source: RNAcentral